UUCGGGGUAGAGAAUAAAGCGUUAAGUGCUAAAAGGACGGAAUGUGUCUUUUAGACGAAAGGUUUUUACCUGCGGUUUUAUUUUCGCAUUCGCCGCA
RNAcentral lists this non-coding RNA (97 nucleotides) under Liquorilactobacillus cacaonum. RNAcentral describes it as "Lactobacillus cacaonum THF-I sequence". It matches the Rfam family "THF (Tetrahydrofolate) riboswitch aptamer". Rfam says of the family: THF riboswitch presents a pseudoknot that joins P1-P2 and the loop of P3 and two THF binding. The record is from RNAcentral. RNAcentral also lists the same sequence under 1 other name. Lineage: Bacteria; Bacillati; Bacillota; Bacilli; Lactobacillales; Lactobacillaceae.